This is a long non-coding RNA of Erinaceus europaeus (western European hedgehog), 958 nucleotides long. RefSeq lists it as uncharacterized. The record is from RefSeq and is a predicted model, not a curated record. The transcript has 4 exons. NCBI's taxonomy places the organism in Eukaryota, Metazoa, Chordata, Mammalia, Eulipotyphla, Erinaceidae.
AGCUUACCUCACAGGGCUGCUUUGAAAUCAGACAGUUAAUGAAUGUGAAGCACUCAGAACCGGGCCGCCUGGCAUGUGCUUGGUAUACUAAAUGUCCCUUACUCCAUGGCGAGGUUUAUUUUUGGUUGUUCUCUUCUAUUGCUGUUCUACUUAUCUGCACCUCUCCCAGACAGUAGAAGCAGAAAGCUUUCCUCUAAACUGCUCAGUAUACCCUGCAUUCAGUCAUGUCCUUCAUGGCUUCUGCACAAAAAUCAAACAGCAAUAAUGAUCUUCCAUGCACCUCUGCUAAUACAUGACUUCAACAUGCAAUUGUAGAUUUGGUUUUUUUGAACUCGGACAAAAGGUUUACAAUGUAGUUCUGCCUCAUCCCAUGGCUGCCCAGCAGGAUGAGAGGUUGCCUGUCACUACAGGAGGAAACGGGGGCAUGAAACCCCAGGAUUCUCAAGGCUGCUAGUUCUUCAUCCCAAAGUUCACCUUCUUCAUCACCCCUUCACUCUACCACAUGGAUUUCACCCAUGUCUGAGCUUAGUCUCUCAGCCAUCAGCAACUAUGGGAGCCUAGGGCAGUGCUAUAAUCUAAGUUAUACCCUCCCUAAAUUCACAUGUUGAAGUUACAGUACUCAGAAUGUCACUUGAAGAUAAAUUCUCCAUAAGGUCAAAGACAGAGGACAACAGAGAAAACAAGCCCACGUCCCCCCAGAGAGGCUCCCAGUCCAGUGGAGGAGAAAGACAAUUACAAGAGCAAGUGCAGAGUUCUGACCUGUCAGCGUCCAUACGCACCAGUAGGUGAUUGGACAAGGAAGACAGAAUUAAAAUACCCAGUUUCUAUCUCAUCUUGGACCUACCACCAAAUGACUAAAAUCAACCAUAUCACCUAUGGUGACCUCAACCAAACCACUACUGGUGCUGCCAUUCCACAUUAUGCCACUACUGAAUACUUACAGUGGACUACAACCAGA